UACGUAGGGGUCGAGCGUUGUCCGGAAUUACUGGGCGUAAAGCGUGCGCAGGCGGUGAUGUAAGACCGAUGUGAAAUCCCCGGGCUUAACCUGGGAACUGCAUUGGUGACUGCAUUGCUCGAGUAUGGCAGAGGGGGGUGGAAUUCCACGUGUAGCAGUGAAAUGCGUAGAGAUGUGGAGGAACACCGAUGGCGAAGGCAGCCCCCUGGGCCAAUACUGACGCUCAUGCACGAAAGCGUGGGGAGCAAACAGG
RNAcentral lists this ribosomal RNA (253 nucleotides) under uncultured bacterium. Its description in RNAcentral is "partial 16S ribosomal RNA". It matches the Rfam family "Bacterial small subunit ribosomal RNA", at positions 524 to 776 of the family's 1533-position model. The record is from RNAcentral.